CACCUGGAGCAGUUGUAGUCUCUAUUAAUGGCCAUCCACCGAAGAGAGAAGUUUCUCUGAUGAGGAUUGAGAGAUGCACUAGGCUGUGGGCAUUAGAAUAAGUCAUUAGCAGUUCGUUUAGCAAUGAAGCUAUUUAGAAGAUGGAGGCGGGAUUUUAAAGAAAUGAUUGAAUGCACUGAAGUCAGUGGCCAUGAUGAGGUCUGUCUCCCAUGUGUCUCGUGCUUUGAAAAGAAGAGGAGAUAAGGAUACAGCAUGCACAGAGAAAAGAUUAUGAGAAAACAUGGAGAAGAAGGCAUCAUAUGACAUCAUCACAGUGGUUCAUGCCUGGAAUCCUAGCAUUCAGAAGGGUAAAGCUGACACAUCAUGAGUUUGGGCAUAGCCUUGGCUAUGUAAUAAGUUCCAAGCCAGUUGGGAUUUGUAGUAAGACCUUACAUCUAAAACAAAACAAAACACAAAACAAAACAAAACAAAACAAACAACAACAAAAGAAUAAAUAAAGAAAGAAAACUGAUUCUCUCAAUACCUUGAUAUUGGAUUUCUAAACUUCACAAUUACGAGAAAAUAAAAUUUCUGUUUCUUGUUGC
This is a long non-coding RNA of Peromyscus eremicus (cactus mouse), 584 nucleotides long. RefSeq lists it as uncharacterized. The transcript has 2 exons. NCBI's taxonomy places the organism in Eukaryota, Metazoa, Chordata, Mammalia, Rodentia, Cricetidae. The record is from RefSeq and is a predicted model, not a curated record.